GACGAACGCUGGCGGCGUGCUUAACACAUGCAAGUCGAGCGGUAAGGCCCUUUCGGGGUACGACGAGCGGCGAACGGGUGAGUAACACGUGGGUGACCUGCCCUCAGCUCUGGGAUAAGCCUGGGAAACUGGGUCUAAUACCGGAUAUGACUCCAUGACGCAUGUUGUGGGGUGGAAAGCCUUGUGCGGCUGAGGAUGGGCCCGCGGCCUAUCAGCUUGUUGGUGGGGUGAGGCCUACCAAGGCGACGACGGGUAGCCGGCCUGAGAGGGCGACCGGCCACACUGGGACGUGAGACACGGCCCACGACUCCUACGGGAGGCAGCAGUGGGGAAGUCUUGCGCAAUGGGCGAAAGCCUGACGCAGCGACGCCGCGUGAGGGAUGACGGCCU
Molecule: ribosomal RNA, 390 nt
Filed under: uncultured bacterium
Lineage: Bacteria
Description: bacterial SSU rRNA
Rfam family: Bacterial small subunit ribosomal RNA
Source: RNAcentral